GGAGAUGGAGAGAUCAGGAGACGGAGCAGGAACAGAGUGGUCAGAGCACAGGAGGAGCGAGAUGUGACAACAACAGGACAGCUCGGUGGCUGGAUCUCACUUGUGGAUCAGGCUGAGGUAGCAGCUGUGGGAAUUAAUGCUACAGCGCUGGAGGCGAGGCUGGAGGUCCUGAUUUUGCACCAGCUCUGUGGAUGCAGCAGCCCGGGAGCCAUUUUUAAGGCAGCUCAUGAAGAGCAAUGACAAGGGAGACUAACAAACAUUUCAUACUUCAAGGUGAAAAGCGCUUCCUGGUAUCCAGGUGUUCUAGCAGGGAGAUGUACUGCUGUGUUUCCUGGGUCUCUUCC
This is a long non-coding RNA of Dicentrarchus labrax (European seabass), 344 nucleotides long. RefSeq lists it as uncharacterized. The transcript is spliced from 4 exons. The record is from RefSeq and is a predicted model, not a curated record. NCBI's taxonomy places the organism in Eukaryota, Metazoa, Chordata, Actinopteri, Moronidae.